Hydra vulgaris (swiftwater hydra) is the source of this 1191-nucleotide long non-coding RNA. RefSeq lists it as uncharacterized. NCBI's taxonomy places the organism in Eukaryota, Metazoa, Cnidaria, Hydrozoa, Anthoathecata, Hydridae. The record is from RefSeq and is a predicted model, not a curated record.
UGAGUUGCGCUGCUUAAAAUUCUUAUUUUAGAUAUAUUUAAAACAUAUUCAAAAAUGAUAUUUUGAAUACUCUGGUGAUUUGCAGAUAUCUCACCACAUGUGAUUUUUUAUUAUUAUACAAUACAAGCUCAAGGAUUUAUUCACAAGACAAUGAUAAUAGUUUACUUAAGUUAUUUGUUAAAGUAAUAAUUAUUUCAACGUAUAUUUACAUAUUUAACAUUUAUGAUUAUUAUUUGACAGCUAAGGUAUGGUUCAUAGGGAUUUAAUAAGGUCUGGUUAGUUUUAGUGAUGUACUUUGACGUAUUAUUUAAUUGAUUAUAAAAUAUUUACAAACUAAAGCAACAGGAGUUUAUUGGUAGCCGGACGUUAUAGCAAAAAGACCUUAAAGAAAACGCAAACUUUUUGGAAUUUUUUAUUUAUUUACGGAACUUAGUUUUUAUCAUUUCUAUUAAAAGGUCGCAACAGGUUGAUAUUAUAUUAAUAAUACAAUUUUUUUUCUCAUUUGUUUCAAUAAAUCUUUUUUCAAUUGAUUUGGGUUUUUAGUUUAGGGUAGAGCGGGGUUAGUUGAGCAUAGGGGCAAGUUGGGCAGUUAAAAUAUCUCAAAAACUACAUAUCACAUGACAAAACAUCUAAUCGAUGAAAGUUAGAGAAUUAGUAUUGUUAACACAAUACGCAACAAAAAAUUGAUGAAAAGCUAUUGAGUAAGAUAAACGGACAAUUUUUCUAUUUUUGACCAAAAAAGUAAAAAAUAAAUUUUUUGCUAUUUUUCUACUGUAUGCUUUUAAAAUUUUUUUUAUCUGCCAUCACUUAAGUGUUGAUAGUUUACCAAUUUAUCGAACUUUUAAUUAAAUUUAACUGUUUUUUCUUAAGUCUUUUAGUUUUUUUAAAAACCUAACUAAUGCGUCACCUUGUCUAGUAGGUGUAAGUUGAGCAGCUUUGAGAAAAAUAAAUAAAGCUGAAAUUUCAAACACAAAGAAACAACUUUGAUAUGAAAUAAUAGAGCGGUACAUUUUUUAUAUAUAUUUUUAGAGUUAGUAAUUUUUAUAUUGGGUUUCAAAGUUCAAGAUAAUUGUAUAAAAAUAUAUUUUUAUAGUUAAACACUUUUAUAUUAUUUAAUUUUUUUUCUCUUUUUUGACGUCAUUAAAAUGUAUAAAAUAAAAAGUUAAUAAACUAUACACACGCUUACUGUUA